AAAAGAAUCAAGGGAAUUCCCAGUCUCACUGCCAGCAGCCCUGGGUUCCAUCCCUGGUCCAGGAACUGAGAUCCAGCAUGCCAGAUGCAGACAGAUAAAUAGGUUUUAAAAAGACACUAUCUUCAAAAUAAACCCCAGUAUCUUCUCCCAAGAAAUUGUGCCUCCCAUUUCUCAGUGAAUGGAAACCAAAGGUUUACUUAGAUACUCAAGCUAAACACCUGGAAGGCAUCCUUUCCUUCACUUCUCUGGUUGGCAAGUCCUGUAGAUUUAUCCUUUAAAUAACUCUCUGAUCUGUCCAUAUGGGGUCUGCUAACUUAGUGCCCCUAGUUCUACUUUUGUCUCCUUACAGCCCACCAGAGAUAUUUUUAAAGAUGCAUCUGAUUAAGCCAUUCCCUUGCCUGAAGCCUCUAAGUGGCUUUUAUUCAUCUUUUAAACAAGUAUGUAUGGAACAGUAAUUGUGGACCAAGCACUAUGUAAAAAUACCUGAUGGUUAAAUACCUCAUUUAACCUUCACAGCGAUCUGCCAAGUUAAGACAGUAUUCCGUUUUUAAAAGAAAAAUUAGUUCAAAGACAGUAAGUUAUUUGCUCACCCUCAUCCACUUAACUGGGGCUCAGUCUCAAGUCUUUCUUUUUUCCAUUUUUACUCCAAGGCCAUUCUAAACCUUUAAAUAAAAAUCCAACGGUGCCACUCAAGACACUAAAAGGUGAGGGUCCAAGGUGACUUUUGUUUCACAAAACGACCACGAAGAACACGCUGUUCUCUAGGAGAAGGAAAGAGCCAUCGUCCCCAUGGGCAUGUGGAUGGCCGGCCUCCGGGGAAGACAGUCAUAACGGGAGCACAACAGUUGCCCCUUACCAGAGACGGACGCCGUAGGACAGGCACGGCGGCGCGUGCGCAGACCCAGCGGCGGCCGGCUCCGCCCCGCGCCCACUCUUUAUUCCCAGAAUCCCUCUGUGUCGCACCAGAACGGCAGAAUCGUUCGGGGACUGAGGAGUCGGGCGCGGCGGCGUCAAGAUGGCGGCUGCGGCUGUGGCGGCGGCGGCAGCGGCGGCCGCGGCAGCAUCUCUGCAGGUGCUGGAGAUGGAAAGCAUGGAGACAGCCGCCGCCGGCUCCGCGGGGCUAGCCGCCGAAGUCAGAGGUAGCGGCACGGUGGACUUCGGGCCUGGGCCUGGUUUGUCUGCAAUGGAGGCGAGCGGGGGCGACCCGGGCCCGGAGGCCGAGGAUUUCGAGUGCAGCUCUCACUGCUCGGAGCUGUCGUGGAGGCAGAACGAACAGCGGCGCCAGGGCCUCUUCUGCGACAUCACCUUGUGCUUCGGCGGUGCGGGAGGCCGAGAGUUCCGGGCCCACCGCUCGGUGCUGGCCGCCGCCACCGAGUACUUCACGCCCCUGCUCUCGGGUCAGUUCUCCGAGUCCCGCUCCGGCCGGGUGGAAAUGCGCAAAUGGAGCUCCGAGCCCGGGCCCGAACCUGACACGGUGGAAGCCGUUAUCGAAUACAUGUACACCGGGCGCAUCCGCGUCAGCACGGGCAGUGUGCACGAGGUGCUGGAGUUGGCCGACAGGUUCCUAUUAAUUCGUUUAAAAGAGUUUUGUGGAGAAUUUCUCAAGAAAAAGCUUCAUCUCUCUAAUUGUGUGGCCAUUCAUAGCUUAGCUCACAUGUAUACACUAAGCCAGCUUGCUCUGAAAGCGGCAGAUAUGAUACGGAGAAACUUCCACAAAGUAAUUCAGGAUGAGGAAUUUUAUACUUUACCUUUCCACCUCAUCCGAGAUUGGCUUUCGGACUUGGAGAUCACAGUUGAUUCCGAAGAGGUUCUGUUCGAAACAGUUUUGAAGUGGGUUCAGAGAAAUGCUGAAGAGAGAGAGAGAUACUUUGAAGAACUUUUUAAAUUGCUCAGAUUGUCCCAGAUGAAACCUACUUACCUUACUCGUCAUGUCAAACCAGAGAGGCUGGUGGCCAAUAAUGAAGUUUGCGUCAAGUUGGUGGCUGAUGCAGUGGAGAGGCACGCUCUGAGAGCUGAGAACAUACAGUCUGGCACAUUCCAGCAUCCUGCUUCUCAUGUCUCAUUAUUACCUCGCUAUGGGCAAAACAUGGACGUGAUCAUGGUUAUUGGAGGCGUGUCAGAAGGAGGGGACUAUUUAAGUGAAUGUGUGGGAUAUUUUGUCGAUGAGGACAGAUGGGUAAACCUACCCCAUAUCCAUAAUCACCUUGAUGGACAUGCCGUUGCAGUAACAGAAUCCUACGUGUAUGUUGCUGGGUCGAUGGAACCAGGGUUUGCUAAAACUGUGGAAAGGUAUAAUCCAAAUUUGAAUACCUGGGAACACGUUUGUAGUCUGAUGACAAGGAAGCAUUCUUUUGGGCUAACAGAAGUCAAGGGGAAGCUAUACAGCAUUGGAGGACAUGGCAACUUCAGUCCCGGUUUUAAAGAUGUGACUGUUUAUAAUCCCGAGCUAGAUAAAUGGCACAACUUGGAAUCAGCACCAAAGAUUCUUCGGGAUGUGAAAGCGCUCGCCAUUGAAGACCGGUUUGUGUACAUUGCUGCCCGCACUCCUGUGGACCGGGACACUGAAGAUGGAUUAAAGGCUGUCAUUACUUGCUAUGACACAGAGACUCGACAGUGGCAAGAUGUGGAAUCUUUGCCACUUAUUGACAAUUACUGCUUUUUCCAAAUGUCUGUGGUCAACUCAAACUUUUAUCAGACAGCCUCAUGCUGCCCCAAGAGUUAUUCUUUAGAAAAUGAAGAGGCGAUACGAAAAAUCGCCAACCAGGUUUCCGAUGAGAUCCUUGAAAGUUUACCCCCGGAAGUCCUAAGCAUUGAAGGAGCGGCCAUUUGCUAUUACAAAGAUGACGUUUUCAUUAUUGGAGGCUGGAAAAACAGUGAUGAUAUUGACAAACAGUAUAGGAAAGAAGCCUACAGAUACUGUGCUGAGAGAAAGCGGUGGAUGCUUCUUCCUCCCAUGCCACAACCCCGUUGUCGAGCCACUGCCUGCCACGUGAGAAUCCCAUACCGGUACUUGCAUGGCACUCAGAGAUAUCCUAUGCCUCAAAACUUAAUGUGGCAGAAGGACAGGAUCAGACAGAUGCAAGAAAUACAUCGACAUGCCCUAAACAUGCGGCGAGUGCCAAGCUCUCAGAUAGAAUGCUAGGUUCUUUGAUGCAUGCAGCUUAAAACAGACCUUUUCAUGAGGCUGAAGAUACCCAGACUGUUACUUGAAAAUGUAGGUCAAUAACUUAUUUUCUACAUGAAUGGAUUAUCACCCCAUAUAAAGGAAGUACAGUUAAAAACUGAAGAAUGGGAAAAUCAAUUCAGCAGCCUAGGCCAUGGCUGGAAAGAGAGGGUAAGUCCUUCCUUGCAUGAUCAUGUGUGCAGGGUUCCUGACCACUGAAUUCCUAAUUUUCAUAUUUGAAUUCACAUGUGUGAUUUCACAUCGAUAACUUGCAUUUCUAAAAUAUCCUAACUAACUUGUUAAUAAGGAAGAAAACCAGAUUUGCUUAAAUCUGUUCAAGGCUGACAUUCUGAAAUUUUAAACUAGAAAUAACAUCCCUCAGCAUUUGGAAAGGUUCUGAUUAUAAUGACCAGCCUGCAAUGGCUCUUUGGGAAAGAAAUUUCCUUUUUAAUGAAAACUGAAGAUUGCAUUUGACAAUUUAAGCAGUUAAAAAUACAGCUUUAAAAAGGCAGCUUAACAUGUAUUUAAGCAAACCUUUUUUGUUGUUGUUGCUUUUGUUUUGUAGAAGGAAAAGAGGGGAAUUGACUAUAUCAAAAAGUAAGAACUGUAUAUAACUUUAAGUGAGGCUGCUUAGAUCUUGGAAUGGAUACCCUUUGAGUAUACCUACCCCACCACGGUUUAAAAAAAAAAAAAGCCCGGUGUACAUAUUGAGAAUGUCAGUCAUGAGCUUAGUGUUUAAGUAAUACCUCUCACUUGCAGUUGUGAGUCUGAUUUGCAUGAUUAGUCUUGUGUAUCUUGAUAUACAACUUUGCUUUUGCUGUGCCAAUUCAAAAUUAUUUUACUUUAAAAAAAAAAACAAACCUAAAAUUUUAUGGACAUCAGUUUUGUCUUGAUUACUGGGUUUUGUAUAGUAUUUCUGGGACCAAAAAAUAAAUUGAAAUCUUUUUUUAUGUAGAACAGAGGUUUGAAGCUGGAAAAAUAAUGUUUAUGGCAGAUUUGUGUGCUUUUGUAUAUUUAACUCUUCAGGCUGCCGGUAAGGCAGUUUCUAGAGCACACUUACUUUUUUCCUCUUUUAUGUUUCUUGACUAGUGUAGCAUGUGGUAUGUUUAAAUACUUCAUUCUCUGCUUCAUAAUUCUAAUAUGAACACUAUACUAUAGGUAGACAGGUAAGCUCUUUGUACAUUUUAGUUACGUGGCCUAAUCAAGCAUAACCAAAGGGAUGUUUUUUGUACUUGCCUCAAACUAAGCUUAAAAAGGGUGUAUCAGCCACAUUUCAUGUCUUUUCCAAAUAUGUAGAAUUGUGAAGCAAGUCCUCUGCCAACACUAGAAAAAUAGGGUGUUUAUAGGUUGUCAUUUAACCUUAGACUAUUUGGAGAAACAAUUCAGUCUCUCCUUUUUCAAAUUGUUAAACAUUUUGGCACAGUUUAUCACUCCAGCUUGUUACUUUCUUGAGAAUAGUCCAUUUUUGUUUUUGUUAUAAUGCUUAUAUUAUACCAUGUUUUGGUCAUUGGAAACAAAACAGCUCAUAGCCCAGUGAUGUAAUACAGUGACAGUAACACCAUAUAGUAGUCAUUUGCUUCAAGGAACUUAAUUAGGUAGCCAAAUAACUGCUCUCUGUUGAUUACCUUUGUUGGGCUUGUCUUACUCUGUGUGGCCAUUACUGCGAAUGUCUGACCUUCACGUGAAGCACAUACAGUAGAGCACUUGUUAACUUAAUCUUCAGCCUAGUGCACUUGCACUCAUUGAAAAGCAGUGCUUGCUGUGUGGUUGAAGAUCUUAUGGUCUAUGUGCAAGGGCUCAUUGAGUUAUAUGUAAAAUAAAUACUUAGUUCAAGUUGAUACAGUGAGUUUUCUGGGCUAGCAGUAUUGAGCCCCUGUCUUACCGCAAGUAUAAUCUUGACUGUCUCCCUUUAAUUAAGUCAGAGAUGUAGAAUUUAGGACAGUCUGAGACAUUACCUUGUAAAAUAGCUUGUUUUAUGUUUCUAAAGCUACCUUGUUCUGUGUUAGAGCUACUAAUCGUCUUGAUGUAAGUUUUAAAUAAACGUAUUUCUUUAGAGCUGA
Bubalus bubalis (water buffalo) is the source of this 5223-nucleotide RNA transcript. It is a transcript of the gene named kelch like family member 11, with no coding region annotated. NCBI's taxonomy places the organism in Eukaryota, Metazoa, Chordata, Mammalia, Artiodactyla, Bovidae. The record is from RefSeq and is a predicted model, not a curated record. The transcript has 3 exons.